Non-coding RNA from Eubalaena glacialis (North Atlantic right whale), 73 nucleotides. NCBI's taxonomy places the organism in Eukaryota, Metazoa, Chordata, Mammalia, Artiodactyla, Balaenidae. The record is from the annotation of a RefSeq genome assembly.
UCCCUGGUGGUCCAGUGGCUAAGACUCUGUGCUACAAAUGCAGGGGGCCCGGGUUCAAUCCCUGGUCAGGGAA